RNAcentral lists this ribosomal RNA (497 nucleotides) under uncultured bacterium. RNAcentral's name for it is "partial 16S ribosomal RNA". It matches the Rfam family "Bacterial small subunit ribosomal RNA", at positions 28 to 507 of the family's 1533-position model. The record is from RNAcentral.
GAUGAACGCUGGCGGCGUGCCUAAUACAUGCAAGUCGAGCGAACGGACGAGAAGCUUGCUUCUCUGAUGUUAGCGGCGGACGGGUGAGUAACACGUGGAUAACCUACCUAUAAGACUGGGAUAACUUCGGGAAACCGGAGCUAAUACCGGAUAAUAUUUUGCACCGCAUGGUUCAAAAGUGAAAGACGGUCUUGCUGUCACUUAUAGAUGGUUCCGCGCUGCAUUAGCUAGUUGGUAAGGUAACGGCUUACCAAGGCAACGAUGCAUAGCCGACCUGAGAGGGUGAUCGGCCACACUGGAACUGAGACACGGUCCAGACUCCUACGGGAGGCAGCAGUAGGGAAUCUUCCGCAAUGGGCGAAAGCCUGACGGAGCAACGCCGCGUGAGUGAUGAAGGUCUUCGGAUCGUAAAACUCUGUUAUUAGGGAAGAACAUAUGUGUAAGUAACUGUGCACAUCUUGACGGUACCUAAUCAGAAAGCCACGGCUAACUACGUG